Molecule: ribosomal RNA, 253 nt
Filed under: uncultured bacterium
Lineage: Bacteria
Description: partial 16S ribosomal RNA
Rfam family: Bacterial small subunit ribosomal RNA
Source: RNAcentral
UACGAAGGGGGCGAGCGUUGUUCGGAUUUACUGGGCGUAAAGGGCGCGCAGGCGGUUUUGGAAGUCAGGCGUGAAAGCCCCGGGCUUAACCUGGGAAUUGCGUUUGAUACUCUGAGACUAGAGUGUGGGAGAGGAUAGUGGAAUUCCCAGUGUAGAGGUGAAAUUCGUAGAUAUUGGGAAGAACACCGGUGGCGAAGGCGGCUAUCUGGACCACAACUGACGCUGAGGCGCGAAAGCGUGGGGAGCAAACAGG